Non-coding RNA from Brachypodium distachyon (stiff brome), 124 nucleotides. Lineage: Eukaryota; Viridiplantae; Streptophyta; Magnoliopsida; Poales; Poaceae. The record is from Rfam.
UUUUUACUCCCUCCGACCCAUAUUACUUGUCUCAGAUAUGCCCAAAUAUGAAUGUAUCUAUGUUUAAAAAGCGUCUAAAUACAUUAAUAUUUCGACAAGUAAUUCCGGCCGGAGGGAGUACUUU